Molecule: ribosomal RNA, 1453 nt
Filed under: Kocuria sp. 262ZY5
Lineage: Bacteria; Bacillati; Actinomycetota; Actinomycetes; Micrococcales; Micrococcaceae
Description: bacterial SSU rRNA
Rfam family: Bacterial small subunit ribosomal RNA
Source: RNAcentral
GCAGGACGCAUGGGGGCGUGCUUAACACACCGCAGGUCGAACGAUGAUGCCCAGCUUGCUGGGCGGAUUAGUGGCGAACGGGUGAGUAAUACGUGAGUAACCUGCCCUUGACUCUGGGAUAAGCCUGGGAAACUGGGUCUAAUACUGGAUACUACCUCUUACCGCAUGGUGGGUGGUGGAAAGGGUUUUACUGGUUUUGGAUGGGCUCACGGCCUAUCAGCUUGUUGGUGGGGUAAUGGCUCACCAAGGCGACGACGGGUAGCCGGCCUGAGAGGGUGACCGGCCACACUGGGACUGAGACACGGCCCAGACUCCUACGGGAGGCAGCAGUGGGGAAUAUUGCACAAUGGGCGGAAGCCUGAUGCAGCGACGCCGCGUGAGGGAUGACGGCCUUCGGGUUGUAAACCUCUUUCAGUAGGGAAGAAGCGAGAGUGACGGUACCUGCAGAAGAAGCGCCGGCUAACUACGUGCCAGCAGCCGCGGUAAUACGUAGGGCGCAAGCGUUGUCCGGAAUUAUUGGGCGUAAAGAGCUCGUAGGCGGUUUGUCGCGUCUGCUGUGAAAGCCCGGGGCUCAACCCCGGGUCUGCAGUGGGUACGGGCAGACUAGAGUGCAGUAGGGGAGACUGGAAUUCCUGGUGUAGCGGUGAAAUGCGCAGAUAUCAGGAGGAACACCGAUGGCGAAGGCAGGUCUCUGGGCUGUUACUGACGCUGAGGAGCGAAAGCAUGGGGAGCGAACAGGAUUAGAUACCCUGGUAGUCCAUGCCGUAAACGUUGGGCACUAGGUGUGGGGGACAUUCCACGUUUUCCGCGCCGUAGCUAACGCAUUAAGUGCCCCGCCUGGGGAGUACGGCCGCAAGGCUAAAACUCAAAGGAAUUGACGGGGGCCCGCACAAGCGGCGGAGCAUGCGGAUUAAUUCGAUGCAACGCGAAGAACCUUACCAAGGCUUGACAUUCACCGGACCGCCCCAGAGAUGGGGUUUCCCUUCGGGGCUGGUGGACAGGUGGUGCAUGGUUGUCGUCAGCUCGUGUCGUGAGAUGUUGGGUUAAGUCCCGCAACGAGCGCAACCCUCGUUCUAUGUUGCCAGCACGUGAUGGUGGGGACUCAUAGGAGACUGCCGGGGUCAACUCGGAGGAAGGUGGGGAUGACGUCAAAUCAUCAUGCCCCUUAUGUCUUGGGCUUCACGCAUGCUACAAUGGCCGGUACAAAGGGUUGCGAUACUGUGAGGUGGAGCUAAUCCCAAAAAGCCGGUCUCAGUUCGGAUUGAGGUCUGCAACUCGACCUCAUGAAGUCGGAGUCGCUAGUAAUCGCAGAUCAGCAACGCUGCGGUGAAUACGUUCCCGGGCCUUGUACACACCGCCCGUCAAGUCACGAAAGUUGGUAACACCCGAAGCCGGUGGCCUAACCCCUUGUGGGAGGGAGCCGUGCGAAGGUAGUUCAGGCAGACCGAAUCCC